Molecule: ribosomal RNA, 402 nt
Filed under: Triticum aestivum (bread wheat)
Lineage: Eukaryota; Viridiplantae; Streptophyta; Magnoliopsida; Poales; Poaceae
Description: partial small subunit ribosomal RNA
Source: RNAcentral
AUGAUAGUUGGACUCCGAGAUAACCGAUGGACUGUCACGUGCUUUAUAGACGACCAUACACAUGCUCUGGUGCAACAGGAAGAGAAGGUUAGGUUUUAUCGGUCUCAUCGAAAAAUCCCACGAGAAGACCUCCAAAUGAUAAGGACGUUGCAUGAAUGCAACUUGUCAACCUCGGAUUGCAUGGGAAUCCUUGGAGAUUUUCACGGAGGUGAUCAGAGGCGCCUUGGUUAUGUCAAAACGGAUGUUUCAAAUGCACGGUCCGAAAUGCGGAAAACCAUAGCGUUUCAGGACAUGGCCAUGACAAUUGAAUACUUUGAGAGGCGGCAAGCUGAAAGCCCACAGUUCUUCUAUGCAACACAAGUGAAUAAGGAGACAAAUGAGGUAGAAGCAUUGUUUUGGGUG